UAUGAAAAUACCUUAUGCAGUGCUUUCUUUAAAACCCCAUUUGUUGAUUUUCACUAAGCUGAAAGCACACUUUAUGUCUGGGAGCAACCAAAUAACAAAUUUGCUCUCCUUUGAAGACUCAUCAUUUCAGUUAAACAUUUUAAAAUAAUGACAAUGGGUCUCGAGUUUCAAAGUUGAGACCCAAUUUCUGCACUUGAGGAAAUCACUGGUCUAAUCAGAGGGCAACAGUGUCAUCUGGAAAUGCCGGCCCAGGGAUGCCAUCCAGACGGAGGUCAUGAAUGCUGGAAGUGGGUCUCGCAGGGUGAGAGGAGUCACCAGGUGAAGACUGAUGAGAAGAGUCUGUGGGUGAAGACAUUGAAAAGGUUUCAACUAUACGAAUGGAGUUUUGCUCUUGUUGCCCAGGCUGGAGUGCAGUGGCGU
Long non-coding RNA from Rhinopithecus roxellana (golden snub-nosed monkey), 420 nucleotides. RefSeq lists it as uncharacterized. The transcript is spliced from 3 exons. Lineage: Eukaryota; Metazoa; Chordata; Mammalia; Primates; Cercopithecidae. The record is from RefSeq and is a predicted model, not a curated record.